Transfer RNA from Rhizobium sp. PDO1-076, 73 nucleotides. It matches the Rfam family "tRNA". Rfam says of the family: Transfer RNA (tRNA) molecules are approximately 80 nucleotides in length. Their secondary structure includes four short double-helical elements and three loops (D, anti-codon, and T loops). NCBI's taxonomy places the organism in Bacteria, Pseudomonadati, Pseudomonadota, Alphaproteobacteria, Hyphomicrobiales, Rhizobiaceae. The record is from Rfam.
GAGAGGCUAGCUCAGCUGGUAGAGCAGCGCACUUUUAAUGCGCGGGUCGUGGGUUCGAGUCCCACGCCUCUCA